AAUGGAAUGCCUGAAAUUAUAAAGGGUUAUCAUGAUAGGAUAAAUAAUGCAUAUUAAUAAAAUAAUGCUUUCAUUA
Molecule: transfer RNA, 76 nt
Filed under: Allacta hainanensis
Lineage: Eukaryota; Metazoa; Arthropoda; Insecta; Blattodea; Pseudophyllodromiidae
Description: tRNA-Ile
Source: RNAcentral